UACGGGGGGGGCAAGCGUUGUUCGGAAUUACUGGGCGUAAAGGGCUCGUAGGCGGCCACUCAAGUCGAAUGUGAAACCUCGAGGCUUAACCUCGAGCCUGCAUUCGAUACUGGGCGGCUAGAGUCUGGUAGGGGGAUCUGGAAUUCCUGGUGUAGCGGUGAAAUGCGCAGAUAUCAGGAGGAACACCAAUGGCGAAGGCAGCUCGCUACACUAUUAUUGACGCUGAGGCACGAAAGCGUGGGGAUCAAACAGG
RNAcentral lists this ribosomal RNA (253 nucleotides) under uncultured bacterium. Its description in RNAcentral is "partial 16S ribosomal RNA". It matches the Rfam family "Bacterial small subunit ribosomal RNA", at positions 524 to 776 of the family's 1533-position model. The record is from RNAcentral.